RNAcentral lists this ribosomal RNA (272 nucleotides) under uncultured bacterium. Its description in RNAcentral is "partial 16S ribosomal RNA". It matches the Rfam family "Bacterial small subunit ribosomal RNA", at positions 78 to 354 of the family's 1533-position model. The record is from RNAcentral.
CUUAUGCCGGCGACCGGCGGACGGGUGCGUAACGCGUAUGUAACCUACCUUUGACGGGGGGAUAACAUCGAGAAAUUGGUACUAAUACCCCAUAACAUCACCGGAGGCAUCUUCGGUGGUUGAAAACUCAGGUGGUCAGAGAUGGACAUGCGUUGUAUUAGCUAGUUGGUGAGGUAACGGCUCACCAAGGCGACGAUACAUAGGGGGACUGAGAGGUCAACCCCCCCACAUUGGUACUGAGACACGGACCAAACUCCUACGGGAGGCAGCAG